GCCCAGAUGGGAUUAGCUUGUUGGUGAGGUAACGGCUCACCAAGGCGACGAUCCCUAGCUGGUCUGAGAGGAUGACCAGCCACACUGGAACUGAGACACGGUCCAGACUCCUACGGGAGGCAGCAGUGGGGAAUAUUGCACAAUGGGCGCAAGCCUGAUGCAGCCAUGCCGCGUGUAUGAAGAAGGCCUUCGGGUUGUAAAGUACUUUCAGCGGGGAGGAAGGUGUUGUGGUUAAUAACCGCAGCAAUUGACGUUACCCGCAGAAGAAGCACCGGCUAACUCCGUGCCAGCAGCCGCGGUAAUACGGAGGGUGCAAGCGUUAAUCGGAAUUACUGGGCGUAAAGCGCACGCAGGCGGUCUGUCAAGUCGGAUGUGAAAUCCCCGGGCUCAACCUGGGAACUGCAUUCGAAACUGGCAGGCUUGAGUCUUGUAGAGGGGGGUAGAAUUCCAGGUGUAGCGGUGAAAUGCGUAGAGAUCUGGAGGAAUACCGGUGGCGAAGGCGGCCCCCUGGACAAAGACUGACGCUCAGGUGCGAAAGCGUGGGGAGCAAACAGGAUUAGAUACCCUGGUAGUCCACGCCGUAAACGAUGUCUACUUGGAGGUUGUGCCCUUGAGGCGUGGCUUCCGGAGCUAACGCGUUAAGUAGACCGCCUGGGGAGUACGGCCGCAAGGUUAAAACUCAAAUGAAUUGACGGGGGCCCGCACAAGCGGUGGAGCAUGUGGUUUAAUUCGAUGCAACGCGAAGAACCUUACCUGGUCUUGACAUCCACAGAAGAAUCCAGAGAUGGAUUUGUGCCUUCGGGAACUGUGAGACAGGUGCUGCAUGGCUGUCGUCAGCUCGUGUUGUGAAAUGUUGGGUUAAGUCCCGCAACGAGCGCAACCCUUAUCCUUUGUUGCCAGCGGUUAGGCCGGGAACUCAAAGGAGACUGCCAGUGAUAAACUGGAGGAAGGUGGGGAUGACGUCA
This 965-nucleotide ribosomal RNA is filed under the name Salmonella enterica. RNAcentral's name for it is "bacterial SSU rRNA". It matches the Rfam family "Bacterial small subunit ribosomal RNA", at positions 229 to 1187 of the family's 1533-position model. The record is from RNAcentral. RNAcentral also lists the same sequence under 1 other name. Lineage: Bacteria; Pseudomonadati; Pseudomonadota; Gammaproteobacteria; Enterobacterales; Enterobacteriaceae.